UACGUAGGUGGCGAGCGUUAUCCGGAAUUAUUGGGCGUAAAGAGCGCGCAGGUGGUUGAUUAAGUCUGAUGUGAAAGCCCACGGCUUAACCGUGGAGGGUCAUUGGAAACUGGUCGACUUGAGUGCAGAAGAGGGAAGUGGAAUUCCAUGUGUAGCGGUGAAAUGCGUAGAGAUAUGGAGGAACACCAGUGGCAAAGGCGGCUUCCUGGUCUGUAACUGACACUGAGGCGCGAAAGCGUGGGGAGCAAACAGGAUUAGAUACCCCGGUA
Molecule: ribosomal RNA, 269 nt
Filed under: uncultured prokaryote
Description: partial 16S ribosomal RNA
Rfam family: Bacterial small subunit ribosomal RNA
Source: RNAcentral